Vespa mandarinia (Asian giant hornet) is the source of this 1042-nucleotide long non-coding RNA. NCBI's taxonomy places the organism in Eukaryota, Metazoa, Arthropoda, Insecta, Hymenoptera, Vespidae. The record is from RefSeq and is a predicted model, not a curated record.
CUGUGUCAAGCAUUUACAAGACAAACAACGAAAAGUAAAACCGCAGUAUGCAGUUUGUCAGUGGCGGCCGUUUGAAGGCUUACAGCCGGAAAUCAAUUAACGAGGACGAAUUUACAGUGAAAAAGUAGGUUGCAGACGGUGCCAUGACAUGAGAUCAAAAAAAAAAAAAAAGACCAGUUAACGAACUUAUUUGCAUAUCUUUUUUUUUUCUUUUUUUUUAUUUAUUUUUUUUUUUCUUUUUUUUUUUAUUCUUUUCCUUAACGUUAACUACUACUGCUAUCUAUAAAUAUUAUCAGGUAUCCAUGAUUUAUGUCGAAAAAGCAAAACGAUAAAAAGUCAAACGUAAAGAAACCUAGAUUCGCAUUGGAAUAAUUCAAAAUACGACAUUUAAAAUCCAAAAGCGAUUUGUCAUUUCAAUUCAAUAACAAGAAGUGGAGAACUAAUCUCGAUCGAUUUUUUUCUCGACAAUUCAAAUGUGCUCGACGUUUCUCAAUGAAAUUUAUCGAAAACUCUCAUGAUCUAGAAUUGCGAUGAACAUUUAACUAGACGACUUAACCAAUAGGAUUUAUUAAGAUUAUGAAACUCUCGCAUUAUGUCUUAUUAGAGCUAUUAUUAUCAUUAUCGUAUCUAACGAUGAACGAGGAUGAUACUUAUUUGCACCGUGGGAAAUGCCAGAUGAUAGGCUUGAUAAGUGGGGAGGGGAGGCGGGGAACAAUAUGAGAGGAGGGACUCGUAUAUUUGAAUUUUGAUGAUAAAGGAUAAGAACAAAAGGAUAAGACGCGCGAACCGUAUAGCUUCGUACCGACCGAAUGGGAAAUCACUGGGUAUAAAUAGAGGAUGACUCGCGGUCUGGACUCGCCCGUUGGAUAUCGCUAGUCGAUGAUGAUCAUGAUGAUGAUGAUGUUGAUGAUCAUACCUCCUCGUGGGCCAAGUGUAUAUAUCGGAUAUAAACUUUUACGAGAUCGAUGCCUCCUCUCAACGAGAAAAUACUUCUAUCGUAAAAUAAUGAAAAAGAGAAAUAUUAAAGAAAGUCAAAUAAAAG